This 30-nucleotide small RNA is filed under the name Bombyx mori (domestic silkworm). Its description in RNAcentral is "ovarian small RNA-11212". The record is from RNAcentral. Lineage: Eukaryota; Metazoa; Arthropoda; Insecta; Lepidoptera; Bombycidae.
ACCACACGGGAGCGCCAUACAAGGCCAUAC